Molecule: ribosomal RNA, 494 nt
Filed under: uncultured bacterium
Lineage: Bacteria
Description: partial 16S ribosomal RNA
Rfam family: Bacterial small subunit ribosomal RNA
Source: RNAcentral
GACGAACGCUGGCGGCGUGCCUAAUACAUGCAAGUCGAACGGUUUAGUUCCAAGAGGCUUGCCUUUUGGAACUAGACAGUGGCGGACGGGUGAGUAACACGUAGGCAACCUACCUGUCAAACCGGGAUAACCUCGGGAAACCGAAGCUAAACCCGGAUAAGCUCCUUUUUCGCAUGAAGGGGGAGUGAAAAGGUGCGACCUGAUGACAGAUGGGCCUGCGGCGCAUUAGCUAGUAGGUAGGGUAACGGCCUACCUAGGCGAUGAUGCGUAGCCGACCUGAGAGGGCGUACGGCCACACUGGGACUGAGAUACGGCCCAGACUCCUACGGGAGGCAGCAGUAGGGAAGCUUCGGCAAGGGGCGAAAGCCUGACCGAGCAACGCCGCGUGAGUGAGGAAGGCCUUCGGGUUGUAAAACUCUGUUGUUUGGGAAGAAGGGAAAGGGUAGGACCCUUAGGUGACGGUACCAAACGAGAAAGCCCCGGCUAACUACGUG